CGGGGCGUAGCGCAGCCUGGUAGCGCACUUGCAUGGGGUGCAAGGGGUCGAAGGUUCAAAUCCUUCCGUCCCGACCA
RNAcentral lists this transfer RNA (77 nucleotides) under Isoalcanivorax pacificus W11-5. Its description in RNAcentral is "tRNA-Pro (GGG) (tRNA-Pro-GGG-1-1)". It matches the Rfam family "tRNA". From Rfam's summary of the family: Transfer RNA (tRNA) molecules are approximately 80 nucleotides in length. Their secondary structure includes four short double-helical elements and three loops (D, anti-codon, and T loops). The record is from RNAcentral. RNAcentral also lists the same sequence under 13 other names. Lineage: Bacteria; Pseudomonadati; Pseudomonadota; Gammaproteobacteria; Oceanospirillales; Alcanivoracaceae.